UACGUAGGUGGCAAGCGUUGUCCGGAUUUAUUGGGCGUAAAGCGAGCGCAGGCGGUUCCUUAAGUCUGAUGUGAAAGCCCCCGGCUCAACCUGGGAAUUUCAUUGGAAACUGGGGAACUUGAGUGCAGAAGAGGGGAGUGGAAUUCCAUGUGUAGCGGUGAAAUGCGUAGAUAUAUGGAGGAACACCAGUGGCGAAGGCGACUCUCUGGUCUGUUACUGACGCUGAGGCUCGAAAGCGUGGGGAGCAAACAGG
This 253-nucleotide ribosomal RNA is filed under the name uncultured bacterium. RNAcentral describes it as "partial 16S ribosomal RNA". It matches the Rfam family "Bacterial small subunit ribosomal RNA", at positions 524 to 776 of the family's 1533-position model. The record is from RNAcentral.